RNAcentral lists this ribosomal RNA (273 nucleotides) under uncultured soil bacterium. RNAcentral describes it as "partial 16S ribosomal RNA". It matches the Rfam family "Bacterial small subunit ribosomal RNA", at positions 26 to 282 of the family's 1533-position model. The record is from RNAcentral.
AGAAUCAACGCUGGCGGCGUGCCUCAGACAUGCAAGUCGAAUGCGAAAGUCCCCUUCGGGGGACAAGUAGAGUGGCGCACGGGUGAGUAACACGUAGGUAAUCUGCCUUUGGAUGGGGAAUAACAACCGGAAACGGUUGCUGAUACCGCAUGAUGCAGCGGCACCUAAUGGUGACAGUUGUUAAAGCGGGGGAUCGAAAGACCUCGCGUCUGAAGAGGAGCCUGCGGCGGAUUAGCUAGUUGGUAAGGUAAUGGCUUACCAAGGCUACGAUCC